GAAGCUCGGCCUAGGCUACAACCCCCUCCGGUGAGCUCCUCAUGUCCUCUUAUACCCCUCCUACUUGCUCCAUGAUUCUAUGCUCCACAUUUGUGAGGUGUAAUUUUUCAAUUUUGUUCAUAGUCAAGCAUUGGAUUAUAUUGUAUUUGUCAUGAUGUACAUGGUUCAUGAACUAUGCCAACCUGCAGCUUGUUAUACUAGUUAUAGUAGGAUAAUGCAAGUUUUGACAAUCCAUACAUAUUUCUGCAUGUUUAGUGUCUCUCUGGUUUCUGACAUGUCUGCCUUCUAACAAAGAGAAACCAAGAACAAACACUUUGAUCGAUGUAUGAUUCAACUUGUUCUCUAUUUAAGGACCUUCUUAUUUUUGUUAUCGAACAUUAUGGAUUGCUGCUGUGAUCGAAUUUGUUUCACUCAUGGAGAUGAGCUCUUUUACUAGCUCUGGUUUUGUUAAGAUUGAUGAUACCAUGGAUAAGAGCAUGCACAUUACUACUGAAUUUGUUUCAUGUCUCUGUCUACUAAUCAUCAAUUACUACUAGUUGGCUUUUACAUGCUGAACAUUGUUGAUAGUUAGAUACUAGGUAUGUGAUGUGCUAGUUGUACACCUACAUUUCCAGGUUCCAACUCCUAUAGUCUCUGCCCGUGUUGGAUUUUGUUGCUUGUGUAAAAAAAAUUAGUGUAGGUCUUUAAAGGAGUUCGUGAUUUCAAUUCUGGUUGUGUCAAAUCUUCACUAUGUACCAUCCUUAGUGUUUACUUAACUGAAGCAUUGGACAUCGGAAUUUGGGCAUGAUGUAUAAUUUCAGUUCUAGAUGUGUCCAACACAAACAUUACUGUAAACUAUCAAGUUGAUUCUAAAAUGUCUUAUUAACUUCAGUUCAGAUGGUUAUUUUUGGAUUUGGUACCAGUUUAUUGUUGGCAUAGCCUGUGAUUCGUACCUUGCUUUGGUUUCCAGUAGCAAGUAGUGCCUUAGUACCUUUUCUAUGUGGUGUCCAUGGAUUGAAAUUUUGGCUGUAUGUAUUAUUGUAGUAUCGAAAAUGGCUCAAUCCUUAAGUUCUUAGGCUGUGCAUAUGGCUACGCUCCAUUCUUUUGUGCGUGUUAAUUCAGUUUUGGUGUUGAUUUGAUGCUGAUGUUUAGAAACAAAAUUUUGAUGGAUGGGUUCAUUUCAGUAGUCUAAAUAGGUUAAUCUUCUUGGUUUGUUGGCGUGCAGAUGAUUGAUGAGCUGAUCUUGUUCCACCAGUUGUAGCGGGAGUGAUGCUGGAGCAAUACAUCGAUCAUGAGAUAGCUGUGCCAUUUGGGUAGGGAGAAGCUAGGACGGCCCUAAUGCAGUAACACCACCAUGUGGCAAAUCCAGCACAUGGACACAACAUUGGUGCCUGGGUGAUGGGAUAAUGUAUGUGUACCAGCGACAUGAUAUUUGUGCUUCUCGUCCAAUCUAUAUUGUUGUGCACUUGUGUACUUGUUGGGACUUUUUAUUGUGCACUUGCAAUUGUAGAACUAUUUUUUGUUGUUGUGCAGUUGUUGGUCCUUGAACCUUGCUGUGUAUAGGAGUCGAUGGAUGAUGUAUUGUAUUUCCUGUGAUGUGUUACUGAAAUGAAAUAUACAGUUUUUUUGCAAAUAUUGUAUUAUGUUGUACUUGUUUUCUAAUGGGCCUAUCCUAAGA
This 1657-nucleotide long non-coding RNA is filed under the name Triticum aestivum (bread wheat). RNAcentral describes it as "long non-coding RNA (TAES_LNC002401)". Lineage: Eukaryota; Viridiplantae; Streptophyta; Magnoliopsida; Poales; Poaceae. The record is from RNAcentral.